Molecule: long non-coding RNA, 3442 nt
Filed under: Marmota monax (woodchuck)
Lineage: Eukaryota; Metazoa; Chordata; Mammalia; Rodentia; Sciuridae
Source: RNAcentral
UAGGAAACUAACUUCAGGAAAGCACUUGAGAAGGGGAGUGAGGCAGUAUUUGUGUUUUAGAAAGUCCUCCCUGGUUUCAGUGUCGAGUGGACAGAGACUGCAACACAAGGUUUGGAGGUCAGCCAGGCUGCCCAUGAGUCCAGGUGAUGACAUGUGGGGACUCGACAGGUGGCUGGCCAGGAGAGCAGCGGCCAGGGGCAGGCUUCAGCUGCUGGUCUGUCUCCCCAGCGCGGAUCCCCAUGUCCUUCUGGCAAGCAGUUAAAGAAGGAGACCACUGAAUUCAGUCCUGAGCGGAGGGACCUGGGAUGGCUGUGAGCCAGGUCGGGUCUGGCACUGCCGGGAUCCAGCAGCACUCUGCAGUGUGUUUCCCAGCACCCUCCUUCCAGGUGGGCUCUGAGCGGGCUGCUCCUUAGACUCUCAGCUGUUGCUUUAGAAUCAGCAGAUGCCAUCAGGCAAAGGGACUUGGAAUAUUAAGUUGCAUCUCAGGGCUCCCUUGGCAAGACCUUGUGAGCUCUGUAGUUCUCUAAACCUUUAAGAACAUAGGACUUGUUUUUAAAGUACUAUGUUCUACUAGUACUUGAUGGUAAGAUUGGCCCAACGAGCUGGAGUCGGAAGCUUCUCAGUCACCUCAUGAGGCUCUCAUUUCUAGGACAUUAGAGAACAGAAGACACCUCAUAAAGUAUCAGGCGCAUGUGAGGCCCAGCUGGUGCCAGCUGUUAUUGGUACACAAGAAAGGCGCACAUGUCUACGGGAGGAAUUGAAUAUCCACCGGCUGGCUACAGGAGCAACCCAGGAGGACACAUGGGGACUCGCUCCUGUGCACAGAUGGAAGAAACCACCUGAGCGGUCACAUUCCCCGAGGACAGAAGGGUGGGAAAGAAACAUUAGUAGGUGCGCAGAAAUGAAAUCUGGAGACAAGUGGGUGGAGGGACUCACAUCUGGGUUUUAACUUCCUACAUGAACAUAAUAGGAAAGAAAGAUGAUUUUCUGGAAGUGCGGGGAAUGGGAUCAAUGUAGGCUUUAAGGAAAGUGGAGGAAUGUGUCACAAGUACUGUGCAGAAAGCCCCGGGUGGAGUGCACGUGACUCCAGGGAGUCCUGGGCGCAGCAGCACUGGCUGUGUGGGACUGCGGCUGCGGGGAGAGCAAGUGGGCCCAGGGCUCCCCGAGGACCACUGAGAACAUGAGGCAGGGUCACCAGCAAGGGCGGUCAGAGGAGCAAUAGGACAGGGAGUGGCACAAGGGAGAGGGAACUGCAAGUCAAAUGCUAGGAGCCCUGAGAGGAGCCAGACUGGCACGUCCAAGGGGAGAGGAGAGAGCCUGGAAGUACACGCCCCACUUACCAGAAGAAAAGUCCAGGUGCACGAAGACCAGAGACCCGAGGAGCACAGCCAGUCCCAGUCCCCCUCCCGUCCAGGAGAGGGCACCUACUUGGUGGGACGAGGGGGCUUCUCCCACCAGGAGACAGCAGGUGGAUGUUAAUGGGCCAGGGUUCAAGAAAGUCUAUGAAGGACACGGUGGGGGUGGGUGUCACCUCCAGCCAGAGGAAGAUGAGACCCAAGAGCAGCAGAAACAGGACCUCGAAAGAGGUGCAGAGACACCGAGAGGGGAAAUCAGUGGACGAGGACACCGAGGCAGCUCCUGCCGGUGCGUCCCGUCUGCUCCAGGAGGCAAAGUAAAGGCAAACGCGGGAGGAGGAGAUAGAAGACACGGGAAAGGAGCCAAGUGGACCUCUAGAGACGAAGAAUACAGUGUCCAGGUGAGGAGCCGUGACGGGACGCCAGGGAUGACUCGCGGCUCUGAGGGCAGAACAAAUUCCCCUUCAAGUCAGUUACAGGGAGGAAAAAUGGGGAAAGCGGAGGAUGGGAAGGGCACAGAGGCUGUGAGACAGGGUCCUUGGGGACGCCUGCAGGGACAUGACCUCUGAGCAGACAACAUGGCAAGACAGAGAUGAGAUCCAAGAAGACAUUGGCAAAGCAGGUUCCCAGCGUUGUGGGGGACAGUGCCCUUAGUCCAGCGCUGGGGGGGACUGUGGUCUUCAACAUUCUGCCACUUGCUAAGAGCUUUCUAUGUGCCAUCUCUGUUCUGGCCCCAGAAACACAGCGACGCACGAGAUACUGUCUGUAGUCUGUUUGGAGAAGCAGGCACGUCCACAGGAGCUGCGGGAUUCUGAGCGCAGGAUGCCAGGUGCGCACUGAAGGGCGCCACCUUCAAGGAGCGCUCCGUGAGUUCUGGGCCCCCGAUGCCGCUGUUGUCCCGCCCAGGUCUGGACCCUGAGCAAGACACACUGGUGUUAUGAGAAGUGCUGGGUUCAGGACCUCACCAUGCCAGGUCUCCACGUUAUUCAGUAUCACUGACUGUAUCCCCACAAGCAGUGUUCGGGGACGCCAGGGCCUCCGGCCCCUGGAGAAGAUCGCUCAAUGCUGAAGCCCCCCUCUAGGGACCUUCCCCACAGACACCACCAAGGACAAAACAAAGCAUUGCAUUUAGUCCAUGGCUUCCUGCUUUGCACCCACCACAGCCCCUACACCCCUUUCUUCUAACAACACGUGGCACGUGUCUCUUCCACUUGACUCUAGGCACAAUGACGACCGGGAGUCUCACUGCUUUUGUGUGUGAAGCAUUCUCCUGAUCGUGGAAAGAUACACAUGACUUGACCUUUUGCAUUUUAAAAACACACAACUUGGUGGCAUUAAUUGCACUCACAACAACGUUUGCCACUGCCACUGUGUAUUUUCAAAGUGUCUUAAGCAAGUUUUGGAUCCUUAUCACACUGCAUGGCCCAUGUGACUUUGAUGGUAAUUACCGACCGACUUGUUGAAUGGAUGCUUGGGUCAAUGCAUCGUCUGGAGCUUGGCAAUAAUAUGAGGAGUUAAGAUUUCCUCUGUUGCAUGCAGAAAAUGACAGGGAACAGAGGCUGCCAAUGGGAACCAGCUUCCCCUGUUGGGCGUGGCCACCCCUGAGGAGUGUGUUCAGAGGGGACCUGUGCUGAUGGCAGCCACCAGGCAGGCUCUCGGGGAGAUGCAGUAUGGCAGAGACACUUCAGUCAGGUGGGCCUGGUGGUGGUCGGGCCAGGUGGUUGGACUCCUACAAGCAUUUAGGUGCUACUCAAAAUGUCUGCAUAAGUAAGUUUUCUCCCCUUGUCUCUAAGAGGAGAACAUGAUGGUCCUAUUGCCACCUUUGGGGCUUUGGGAAAUAGCUUGAUAAUAAGGGCUCCUCGCUGUGCCUCAUUCACAGGCACACUUCAGGGAAACCGGUGUCUCACAGGGUCGGGACAGUUCAACAGGUGCAUCACAGGGACGGGAUAGUUCCACGGGUAUGUCACAGGGAUGGGAUAAUUCCACCAGUGUGUCACAGGGAUGGGAUGGUUCCCCAGGUAUGUCACAGGGAUGGGAUGGUUCCCCGGGUAUGUCACAGGGAUGGGAGAGUUCCAUGGGUAUGUCAC